Molecule: ribosomal RNA, 301 nt
Filed under: uncultured bacterium
Lineage: Bacteria
Description: partial 16S ribosomal RNA
Rfam family: Bacterial small subunit ribosomal RNA
Source: RNAcentral
CAGUCGCCGCGGGAAUACAGAGGGUGCAAGCGUUAAUCGGAAUUACUGGGCGUAAAGCGCGCGUAGGUGGUUUGUUAAGUUGGAUGUGAAAUCCCCGGGCUCAACCUGGGAACUGCAUCCAAAACUGGCAAGCUAGAGUAUGGUAGAGGGUGGUGGAAUUUCCUGUGUAGCGGUGAAAUGCGUAGAUAUAGGAAGGAACACCAGUGGCGAAGGCGACCACCUGGACUGAUACUGACACUGAGGUGCGAAAGCGUGGGGAGCAAACAGGAUUAGAUACCCCGGUAGUCCCUGUCUCUUAUAA